Molecule: RNA transcript, 1807 nt
Organism: Zingiber officinale
Lineage: Eukaryota; Viridiplantae; Streptophyta; Magnoliopsida; Zingiberales; Zingiberaceae
Gene name: RNA polymerase II subunit 5-mediating protein homolog
Exons: 13
Source: RefSeq, a predicted model, not a curated record
CUAUUUCACCUGCAACCGCACGAGAAUUAAAAGGGACGGGGAGUGCUUUCAGUUGUAAACCCAGCGGCCUGCGGGAAACCCUUGUACAAUCUUCUCGAUCCUUCUCUAUCCGUUCCUGUCUUCCAUGGGCGACGGCGUAAAGGGAACGGUCACCCCCCUCGGAUCCCUUUUCUCCCCCGAGGAGGCGCGGAAGGCCGCACAGCGGGUGGAGGGAGCUGUCGUCCAGCGCAGUAGCGAGCUCCGGCGUCUCCAGGGCUUCGUCUCCGAGAAUUCCGCCCUUAUAUCCCUUGUUCGCUCCCUUCCCGAUGAGCUCUCUCACGAAAUCAUGGUUCCUUUUGGAGGUGCGGCUUUCUUCCCUGGCCGCCUUAUCCAUACCAACGAGUUUCUGGUAUUGUUAGGAGAUGGAUAUUAUGCAGAGAGGACUGCGAAGCAGACUAUGGAUAUUUUGCAUAGGAGGGGCAAGACAAUGGAAGCCCAGGUUGAGGCUUUGAAGGCCACGAUGUUGGAUCUUGAGGCCGAGGCUAAGUUCUUCAAUUCCACAGCGGAAGAGGCUAUUGAAGGGAUUGUGGAAAUAAGGGAGGAAUAUGUUGAAGAACCUGAGAAGAAUUCUUUGAGUUCAGAUACUGUUUCAGAUUCUUUACACUCCUGCAAGACAGAAAAUCUGCAAAAGCUUGAUGAAGAUGAAGAUGAAGAUGAAGAAUAUGCUCGAAUUAUGGCAAGGAUAGAAGAACUAGAAAGGAUGGAGGAGCUUGAAAAUGGAAAUACUUCAGAAGAUAACACUCAGGAGAAUGAGGAUACUGUGGUUCGUGAUGGAGAUGGGGGUAGCAAAGCUGGAGAUGAAGAUGAGGACAUUGAGGCUGGUCAUAGUUUCUCGACAUUAGAUCAUAAAUAUGAAGUUAUUGAGCCAAAGCAAAAACUAAAAGAUCCCUUACAGAAGGCUAGCGACCAAAAAGUUCCGAGUUCAUUUAUUUCUCGUCAGACCGGAAACAUUUCAAAACAAGAACUAAAGGAGGAAGCAUUUAGUAACUCGAGGAUGCAAUUUCCAGUUGAAGCUCAUUCUUUUAGUAACAAAGAACUGUCUGUUGGCAAAGAGAAGACUGCAUCAUCUCCAUUUGGUGCCCAGUCAUCUGUUUCAAAGAUUGAGGAUUCUCCGCAUGAGACUACAGGACAAACACUUAAUAUAGUCUCAAGUGGUCGCAAAGCAUUUUCAGGCUCUAUUGUUGAGCGUGAUCUUGAUCCUCAACCCGUACAGUCAUCAAAAAAUACCAAUCUGCCACAGGCAUCUUUUCCCAAGUAAAACAUAUGGUGAGAAACUUGCCUUAUAAAGUCAGUCCUAGCAUCGUUCCUGAGUUCACAGAUCAAGCUCUGCAUUUUGUAAUAUCAAAACAGUCCUCUGCUCAGAGUUCCACAAAGCCAGUUUCAAGAUUCAAGAUGCAGAAAGGCAAUCGUUAGUGUUUGAUAUGUACCUUUCAAUUUGAUUAAAGUUAUUCUCGGCCUCGCUGCUGUUGGACCCCAAAUGAGGAAUCUUGCCCCAUGAGCAUACAAUUUGUCAAUAUAUCAUCUUCAAAUGCUCUAUUCAGGUUUUGGAACUGACUAUCAUAAUUGUUUUUACCUUCCAAUCCCUCUUGAACGUGAUCAUGGAUGUGCGUAUCAAGCAGCGUCCAAUACAAAAUGAACUGGUAAUAUGUGCGACAGAAUCAAAUUUUGGCCAUUUUUUGUCAUGUAGGUACCAAAAUUCAAGUAAGCCAAAUACAAUGAUUAUAUCAUUGUAAUUCAUAGUUGUCUGAGUUGAAAACAGUUUUUAUAA